RNAcentral lists this transfer RNA (86 nucleotides) under Bacteroidales bacterium. Its description in RNAcentral is "tRNA-Ser". It matches the Rfam family "tRNA". From Rfam's summary of the family: Transfer RNA (tRNA) molecules are approximately 80 nucleotides in length. Their secondary structure includes four short double-helical elements and three loops (D, anti-codon, and T loops). Further hydrogen bonds mediate the characteristic L-shaped molecular structure. tRNAs have two regions of fundamental functional importance: the anti-codon, which is responsible for specific mRNA codon recognition, and the 3' end, to which the tRNAs corresponding amino acid is attached (by aminoacyl-tRNA synthetases). tRNAs cope with the degeneracy of the genetic code in two manners: having more than one tRNA (with a specific anti-codon) for a particular amino acid; and 'wobble' base-pairing, i.e. permitting non-standard base-pairing at the 3rd anti-codon position. Lineage: Bacteria; Pseudomonadati; Bacteroidota; Bacteroidia; Bacteroidales. The record is from RNAcentral.
GGAGGAAUGGCGGAGUGGUCGAACGCGGCGGUCUUGAAAACCGUUGUCCCUUCGCGGGACCGGGGGUUCGAAUCCCUCUUCCUCCG